Molecule: ribosomal RNA, 253 nt
Filed under: uncultured bacterium
Lineage: Bacteria
Description: partial 16S ribosomal RNA
Rfam family: Bacterial small subunit ribosomal RNA
Source: RNAcentral
UACGGAGGGUGCAAGCGUUAAUCGGAAUUACUGGGCGUAAAGCGUGCGUAGGUGGUUCGUUAAGUCCGUUGUGAAAGCCCCGAGCUCAACUUGGGAAUUGCAGUGGAUACUGGCGGACUAGAGUGCGGUAGAGGAAGGUGGAAUUCCCGGUGUAGCGGUGAAAUGCGUAGAGAUCGGGAGGAACACCAGUGGCGAAGGCGGCCUUCUGGACCAGCACUGACACUCAAGCACGAAAGCGUGGGGAGCAAACAGG